UUGAACACGCGAACACCCCACCCAUUUCCUAUCUAGAAAAAAUUGAAGUAUCACCAAACACUUUCCAGAACUGAUAAGAAACUCAGAAGAUAAGCAACUGUCAUUUUCACAAACUGCACUGCACAAUUACAAGAACCUUAAUGCAAAACAAAACUUCACUUAAUGGUGGAAACAGAGAGAAAAAAAACACAUCUUAAAACAGAACAAGACGUUUUAUUUCUGAGUUUAACGUUGAGGAAAUUGAGUGGAAAUGGGUAGAAACGUGCCAGAAAAAAUAAGUGUCACUACUGUCACAUCGGACAACGUAAUUUUAGAGUAAGUGAAUGAAAAAAAUGCAGAUAAAUACGGUGGCAGCAUCUUUCAUGAUAGACUUCUCUUUCUGAUAAAUCAAAACUGACCUACAUAGGAUUAAACAAGAAGAACA
This is a long non-coding RNA of Octopus bimaculoides (California two-spot octopus), 424 nucleotides long. RefSeq lists it as uncharacterized. NCBI's taxonomy places the organism in Eukaryota, Metazoa, Mollusca, Cephalopoda, Octopoda, Octopodidae. The record is from RefSeq and is a predicted model, not a curated record.